Molecule: ribosomal RNA, 254 nt
Filed under: uncultured bacterium
Lineage: Bacteria
Description: partial 16S ribosomal RNA
Rfam family: Bacterial small subunit ribosomal RNA
Source: RNAcentral
CACGUAGGGGGCAAGCGUUGUCCGGAUUUAUUGGGCGUAAAGAGCUCGUAGGCGGUUCGAUAAGUCGGGUGUGAAACCUCCAGGCUCAACCUGGAGACGCCACCCGAUACUGUCGUGACUAGAGUCCAGUAGGGGAGCGUGGAAUUCCUGGUGUAGUGGUGAAAUGCGCAGAUAUCGGGAAGAACACCCGUGGCGAAGGCGGUUCUCUGGGACGGUACUGACGCUGAGGAGCGAAAGCAUGGGGAGCGAACAGG